Molecule: ribosomal RNA, 255 nt
Filed under: uncultured bacterium
Lineage: Bacteria
Description: partial 16S ribosomal RNA
Rfam family: Bacterial small subunit ribosomal RNA
Source: RNAcentral
GACGUAGGGCGCGAGCGUUGUUCGGAUUUACUGGGCGUAAAGGGCGCGUAGGCGGUCGUGACAAGUCACUUGUGAAAUCUCCGGGCUUAACUCGGAACGGUCAAGUGAUACUGUCGGACUAGAGUACAGAAGGGGCAACUGGAAUUCUCGGUGUAGCGGUGAAAUGCGUAGAUAUCGAGAGGAACACCUGCGGCGAAGGCGGAUGUGCUGGGCUGAUACUGACGCUGAGGCGCGAAAGCCAGGGGAGCGAACGAG